UCCUGGUUAGCUCAGUUGGUAGAGCGCUCCACUGGAAAUGGAGGGGUUCCUUGUUUGAUACCAGGACCAGAAG
RNAcentral lists this transfer RNA (73 nucleotides) under Ixodes scapularis (black-legged tick). It matches the Rfam family "tRNA". Rfam says of the family: Transfer RNA (tRNA) molecules are approximately 80 nucleotides in length. The record is from Rfam by way of RNAcentral. Lineage: Eukaryota; Metazoa; Arthropoda; Arachnida; Ixodida; Ixodidae.